Molecule: ribosomal RNA, 467 nt
Filed under: uncultured bacterium
Lineage: Bacteria
Description: partial 16S ribosomal RNA
Rfam family: Bacterial small subunit ribosomal RNA
Source: RNAcentral
ACGAACGCUGGCGGCGUGCUUAACACAUGCAAGUCGCACGGAAAGGCCCUGCUUUUGUGGGGUGCUCGCGUGGCGAACGGGUGAGUAACACGUGAGUAACCUGCCCUUGACUUUGGGAUAACUUCAGGAAACUGGGGCUAAUACGGGAUAGGAGCUCCUGCUGCAGGUGGGGGGUUGGAAAGUUUCGGCGGUUGGGGAUGGACUCGCGGCUUAUCAGCUUGUUGGUGGGGUAGUGGCUUACCAAGGCUUUGACGGGUAGCCGGCCUGAGAGGGUGACCGGCCACAUUGGGACUGAGAUACGGCCCAGACUCCUACGGGAGGCAGCAGUGGGGAAUAUUGCACAAUGGGCGGAAGCCUGAUGCAGCAACGCCGCGUGCGGGAUGACGGCCUUCGGGUUGUAAACCGCUUUCGCCUGUGACGAAGCGUGAGUGACGGUAAUGGGUAAAGAAGCACCGGCUAACUACGUG